This 254-nucleotide ribosomal RNA is filed under the name uncultured prokaryote. RNAcentral describes it as "partial 16S ribosomal RNA". It matches the Rfam family "Bacterial small subunit ribosomal RNA", at positions 524 to 776 of the family's 1533-position model. The record is from RNAcentral.
UACGAAGGGGGCUAGCGUUGUUCGGAAUUACUGGGCGUAAAGCGUAUGCAGGCGGAUCGUUAAGUCGGGGGUGAAAUCCCGAGGCUCAACCUCGGAACUGCCUUCGAUACUGGCGAUCUUCGAGUCCGGGAGAGGUGAGUGGAACUCCGAGUGUAGAGGUGAAAUUCGUAGAUAUUGGGAGGAACACCAGUGGCGAAGGCGGCUCACUGGACCGGUACUGACGCUGAUGCGCGAAAGCGUGGGGAGCAAACGGG